Molecule: ribosomal RNA, 416 nt
Filed under: uncultured bacterium
Lineage: Bacteria
Description: bacterial SSU rRNA
Rfam family: Bacterial small subunit ribosomal RNA
Source: RNAcentral
UGGGGAAUAUUGGACAAUGGGGGAAACCCUGAUCCAGCUACGCCGCGUGUGUGAUGAAGGCCUUCGGGUUGUAAAGCACUGUCGGGAGGGACGAAGAAGCUUCGGCUUUUGACGGUACCUCGCAAGAAAGCACCGGCUAACUCCGUGCCAGCAGCCGCGGUAAUACGGAGGGUGCAAGCGUUGCUCGGAAUUACUGGGCGUAAAGCGACCGCAGGCGGUCUGUCAGGUCGGAUGUGAAAGCCCGGGGCUCAACCCCGGAACUGCAUUCGAAACCGGCAGACUUGAGUACGGGAGAGGAGGGCGGAAUUCCUGGUGUAGAGGUGAAAUUCGUAGAUAUCAGGAGGAACACUCGCGGCGAAGGCGGCUCUCUGGCCCGAUACUGACGCUCAUGGUCGAAAGCAUGGGGAGCGAACAGG